Molecule: ribosomal RNA, 2316 nt
Filed under: Clostridioides difficile
Lineage: Bacteria; Bacillati; Bacillota; Clostridia; Peptostreptococcales; Peptostreptococcaceae
Description: bacterial LSU rRNA
Rfam family: Bacterial large subunit ribosomal RNA
Source: RNAcentral
AGGGUGCAGGGCGGAUGCCUUGGCACUAGGAGCCGAUGAAGGACGUGAUAAGCUGCGAUAAGCUUCGGGGAGUUGCACGUAAACUUUGAUCCGAAGAUUUCCGAAUGAGGAAACUCACUUAGAGUAAUGUCUAAGUAUCAUUAAGUGAAUACAUAGCUUAAUGAGGGGAACUCAGGGAACUGAAACAUCUAAGUACCUGAAGGAAGAGAAAGAAAUUCGAUUCCGUAAGUAGCGGCGAGCGAACGCGGAUUAGCCCAAACCAAUAAAGUUUUCUUUAUUGGGGUUGCGGACAUAUCAUAACGAAGAGGUAUCGUAAUUGAAGAGGUUUGGAAAGACCCACCACAGAAGGUAAUAGUCCUGUAUGUUAAACGAGAAGACUUUAGAUAUGAUCCAGAGUACCACGGGACACGUGAAACCCUGUGGGAAGCAGGAGGGACCACCCUCCAAGGCUAAAUACUACCUAGUGACCGAUAGCGUAUAGUACCGUGAGGGAAAGGUGAAAAGAACCCCGGGAGGGGAGUGAAAUAGAACCUGAAACCCUGCACUUACAAGCUGUGGAAGCACAUUUCUUGUGUGACCGCGUACUUUUUGUAGAACGGGCCAACGAGUUACGUUAAGUAGCAAGGUUAAGCACUUAAGGUGCGGAGCCGUAGCGAAAGCGAGUUUUAACUGAGCGUUCAGUUACUUGACGUAGACCCGAAACCGGGCGACCUACCCAUGAGCAGGAUGAAGCGAAAGUAAAAUUUCGUGGAGGUCCGAACCCACGAGCGUUGAAAAGCUCGGGGAUGACUUGUGGGUAGCGGUGAAAUUCCAAUCGAGCCCGGAGAUAGCUGGUUCUCCCCGAAAUAGCUUUAGGGCUAGCCUCAAGGUGAGAGAUACGGAGGUAGAGCACUGAAUGUCCUAGGGGGUAUUGCACCUACCGAAGACUAUCAAACUCCGAAUGCCGUCAUCUUAUACUUGGGAGUCAGACUGUGGGUGAUAAGAUUCAUAGUCGAAAGGGCAACAGCCCAGAUCGUCAGCUAAGGUCCCUAAAUGUAAGUUAAGUGGUAAAGGAUGUGGGAUUGCACAGACAACCAGGAUGUUGGCUUAGAAGCAGCCACUCAUUCAAAGAGUGCGUAAUAGCUCACUGGUCGAGUGAUCCUGCGCCGAAGAUUUCCGGGGCUAAAACUUACUACCGAAGCUACGGCAUCAGUAAUGAUGGGUAGGGGAGCUUCCCAUACGGGUUGAAGCAUGACCGUAAGGACAUGUGGACAGUAUGGGAGUGAGAAUGUUGGCAUGAGUAGCGAGAUGUGGGUGAGAAUCCCACAGGCCGUAAACCCAAGGUUUCCAGGGGAAGGUUCGUCCGCCCUGGGUUAGUCGGGACCUAAGCUGAGGCCGAAAGGCGUAGGUGAUGGACAACAGGUUGAUAUUCCUGUACUACCGAUAACCGUUUGAGAGAAGGGAUGACACAGUAGGAUAAGCUAAGCACACUGUUGGUUAUGUGUGCCCAAGCAUUGAGGCAGUCAAAGUAGGCAAAUCCGCUUUGAUAAUGCUGGGAUGUGAUGGGGAGCGAAAUUUAGUAGCGAAGUAGCUGAUUUCACACUGUCAAGAAAAGUCUCUAUCGAGGUUAAAGGUACCCGUACCGCAAACCGACACAGGUGGGUGAGGAGAGUAUCCUAAGGCCAGCGAGAGAACUGUUGUUAAGGAACUCGGCAAAAUGACCCCGUAACUUAGGGAUAAGGGGUGCCACCAUCAGGUGGCCGCAGAGAAUAGGCCCAAGCGACUGUUUACCAAAAACAUAGGUUUCUGCUAAGUCGCAAGACGAUGUAUAGGAGCUGACGCCUGCCCGGUGCUGGAAGGUUAAGGGGAUCUGUUAGAGCAAUCGAAGCAGUGAACUUAAGCCCCAGUAAACGGCGGCCGUAACUAUAACGGUCCUAAGGUAGCGAAAUUCCUUGUCGGGUAAGUUCCGACCCGCACGAAAGGCGUAACGAUUUGGGCACUGUCUCAACAACAGACUCGGUGAAAUUGUAAUUCCGGUGAAGAUGCCGGAUACCUGCGACAGGACGGAAAGACCCCAUGGAGCUUUACUGUAGCUUGACAUUGGGUCUUGGUACUACAUGUACAGGAUAGGUGGGAGGCUUUGAAACCAGGACGCCAGUUUUGGCGGAGCCAUCCUUGGGAUACCACCCUUGUAGUACUGGGACUCUAACCAUAGGCCAUGAAUCUGGUCUUGGGACACUGUCAGGUGGGCAGUUUGACUGGGGCGGUCGCCUCCCAAAAGGUAACGGAGGCGCUCAAAGGUUCUCUCAGUACGGUCGGAAAUCGUACGUAGAGUGU